This 506-nucleotide ribosomal RNA is filed under the name uncultured bacterium. RNAcentral's name for it is "partial 16S ribosomal RNA". It matches the Rfam family "Bacterial small subunit ribosomal RNA", at positions 28 to 523 of the family's 1533-position model. The record is from RNAcentral.
GAUGAACGCUAGCUACAGGCUUAACACAUGCAAGUCGAGGGGUAACGAGAGGGAAGCUUGCUUUCCUUGUCGACGACCGGCGCACGGGUGAGUAACGCGUAUCCAACCUGCCCCCAACUAGGGAAUAACCUUGCGAAAGUAAGACUAAUACCCUAUAAUUUCCUCAGAUGUCAUCUGACGAGGAAUAAAGAUUUAUCGGUUGUGGAUGGGGAUGCGUCUGAUUAGCUUGUUGGCGGGGUAACGGCCCACCAAGGCAACGAUCAGUAGGGGUUCUGAGGAGAAGGUACCCCACAUUGGAGCUGAGACACGGUCCAAACGCCUACGGGAGGGAGCGGUGAGGAAUAUUGGUCAAUGGGCGGAAGCCUGAACCAGCCAAGUAGCGUGCAGGAUGACGGCCCUAUGGGUUGUAAACUGCUUUUAUACAGGAAUAAAGUUAGCCACGUGUGGUUAUUUGUAGGUACUGUAUGAAUAAGGACCGGCUAAUUCCGUGCCAGCCGCCGCCGUAA